This 261-nucleotide unclassified non-coding RNA is filed under the name Hevea brasiliensis (rubber tree). The record is from RNAcentral. Lineage: Eukaryota; Viridiplantae; Streptophyta; Magnoliopsida; Malpighiales; Euphorbiaceae.
GAGAAUCUGUAGUGGGCUUAAUUGACUUUUAGCUAAUCUCAACCAAUGGAAGAUGAGAUUCUGCCUGAUCAUGAUGUUGAUUUGAACAUGUUGCGUGCACAAAGGUUUUAGCAUAUCUAUUCUUGAUUUAAUGUGACAAGAACUCAGUCAGAUUGAGGUUGCUCAUAUUGUCGGAUGAGGGUUGUUGUAGGCUGAAAACCUGUGUAAAAUUUGUCAAUUUGGGAAUAGGAGCUAGGAGAGGUAGAGAUAAGUAAAAAGAGA